AUAUCUCUCUGUACGGGAAGGAUGAGAAGCUUCGACUAAGGUUCGAUUCGAGCGCAGCGAGAAAGCGUUGCCGCAGGCAACGACCC
Molecule: small RNA, 86 nt
Filed under: Salmonella enterica subsp. enterica serovar Muenchen
Lineage: Bacteria; Pseudomonadati; Pseudomonadota; Gammaproteobacteria; Enterobacterales; Enterobacteriaceae
Also listed under: 1 other name
Description: partial RtT sRNA
Rfam family: RtT RNA
About the family: This family represents a bacterial cis-regulatory element known as RtT RNA. The exact function of RtT is unknown although it is thought that it may be involved in changing the cellular response in relation to amino acid starvation.
Source: RNAcentral